Long non-coding RNA from Daphnia carinata, 1435 nucleotides. RefSeq lists it as uncharacterized. The transcript has 4 exons. NCBI's taxonomy places the organism in Eukaryota, Metazoa, Arthropoda, Branchiopoda, Diplostraca, Daphniidae. The record is from RefSeq and is a predicted model, not a curated record.
CUCAGUUAUUGGAAAAUAAAAAAAUUAGAAUGGGACACUUUCCAAACAGUGAAGGAGGUUUUUCCAAACUCAUCCCUAACUGAAUGUGAGCAUGAGUUGGCGUUAGGCGAACACAGUCAGUUAUUCAGUCUACCACCUGACAGUGUGUUAAAGUUAAAUUCUGUUAGUGCUGCACUAAAAGAAUUGUUAGUAAUAAGUCCAUGCAGCGAAGGAAGUGAACAAUUGUGGGACCUUAUUUGGGCUGAAAAUGGGUGUGGUACGGAAACCCAGAAAUAGCACGUGUUCAACAUAAAACAUGAAUUAGAAUUUUAGUGGGGGAUCAAGUCAAGUCUGGAAGUGUUACAGGAUGGAAGAGUGAGCCUACAGUUGAAAAACACUGAAAGUGCAUUACCCUUAAGGUAUGAGGUAAAGUAAUAGAGUAUGCACAUUGUCUAAUGAGAAGUACCAUCUUGUGUGAAUGAAUCCUGUAUAACAGCAAUCUUUUAUAGUUCUGUCACACCUAGAAGCCUCAAAUAAUUCUGCUUCUCUUGCUAAAGAACAACUUGUCCUUUACGUUCAGAGUGUUGGUGAAGCUGGGUACUUAAAUGGUCCUAAAGAUGUCAUUGGCAUUGCAGCGAUGAACAUCAUACAUGGGCUUUUUAGGAAAGGAUUUUCAUGUACUGGGAACACAACUAUCAACAAUGCAACAUUCUACAGGUGCUAGUUUAUCAUUCAAGAGCCUUAUACAAUGAAGUUAAUCUGCAAUUUGUAUGUCCUUUCCCAAGCUUCCACCAGAAGUUGAAUCUAUGAGUCAUGUAAGUUCCAUGAUCAACAAUUGAUGUGUUUAACGGUGUUUUUUUUCUUUUCUCAAUAUAGGUUAAUAGUAACAUUGGAUCUGAAAAGAUUCUUGGUUGGGGCAAGACACUGAAUAAAUUGUAUUGAUUGGAUGGAUGACAUGACAUUGCUAUACUUAAUUCGGAUUCCCCAGACGGUAUUUGAUAUUAAAAAAAUUGAAGUGCAUAUCUGGGCUCCCUUCUUUUCUGAAGCCCCGUUUCCCCUUGACUCAUAAUAAGCCCGUAGGGGGUCAUGCCCCUACUGUACGGUAUAUAUAAAAACAACAUAUACCGAGGUUUGGAGGGCUCUGGCCGGAAAGGGGACGUGGGGUGCCGCUUCGUCCGAUGAUGUGUUCACGGAGGGUGACGUGGCUGCCCACAAAUCCGAACUAAAGGUUAAUCGCUCCUGUAAAAAUGUUCCAAAUCUUCAGCUCUUCUUCCGGCUUCUCUUAGCCAUCCCAUCUCUUAGCCAUUCUCUUAGAUUUUCCAGGCAAAAUUUCUAGUAACUCAGCAUUUGGUACGAUCUUUACUAUAAUUUUAUACAGUAUCCUGCAUGUCUCAUUAAUAAAGAUUUAAAUCCUUUUAUAGAUUGACACAUUAGUGAGGAAGGCUCAGUUUAGUUC